Molecule: long non-coding RNA, 208 nt
Filed under: Elaeis guineensis (African oil palm)
Lineage: Eukaryota; Viridiplantae; Streptophyta; Magnoliopsida; Arecales; Arecaceae
Description: long non-coding RNA (EGUI_LNC025517)
Source: RNAcentral
AUUCUAAGUUGGAACAUGGUCAAACGUUAGAUUAUGAAAUCCUUGACUUCUAACCUCUGCUGAAACCUUUCUCAGAAGAAACGCUGAUUAGCCCUUCCUUAAUUUUAGUUCUUUGUUCUUCCAUGAGCCAUCAAAGGAAGAGGAAUGAGUCCAACUUACAGGAAAUAUUUUGUAAGAGACAGAUGCUUCCACGUAAAAGGUUGUUGGG